Molecule: small nuclear RNA, 170 nt
Filed under: Rhinolophus ferrumequinum (greater horseshoe bat)
Lineage: Eukaryota; Metazoa; Chordata; Mammalia; Chiroptera; Rhinolophidae
Description: U4 spliceosomal RNA (ENSRFEG00010008136.1)
Rfam family: U4 spliceosomal RNA (bases 1-142)
About the family: U4 small nuclear RNA (U4 snRNA) is a component of the major U2-dependent spliceosome. The structure of U4 snRNA from yeast and human has been reported. U4 snRNA presents a k-turn RNA motif in the 5p-SL related to recognition of Snu13 protein.
Source: RNAcentral
AGCUUUGCGCAGUGGCAGUAUCGUAGCCAAUGAGGUUUAUCCGAGGCGCGAUUAUUGCUUAUUGAAAACAAAUAACUGUAUCGGAACAUCUUCCCUAAUCACCUGAUCUGGCCACAGUGACUUCUUUCUUUACCCGAAGAUAAAGGAAAUAUGGAAAGUAAGAUAUUUUG